This 5830-nucleotide long non-coding RNA is filed under the name Jatropha curcas. Its description in RNAcentral is "long non-coding RNA (JCUR_LNC000456)". Lineage: Eukaryota; Viridiplantae; Streptophyta; Magnoliopsida; Malpighiales; Euphorbiaceae. The record is from RNAcentral.
GCACUUCCAAAACGGCACAUCCUCCAAGCGAGUCAGAGAAGACGACCGGUGCGGCCCAAAUCCAGAAAUCCAGUGGUUUUAUUGCUCUCUUUGUAGCUUUCCUUUCCUUGGCAUUAUCAGCCUAGAUUUUUCAUUUUCAGUGUAGAAGAAGACUGCUUCCAAUAAAUUAGUUUUUACUUUCAGACAUUUCAGCUUUAUUUCUUGUUCCUCUUGUUAAUAAUUUAGUAUAAAUGUAUGGUCGCUUUUUUUUUUUUUUUUUUGUUAUUAUAGUAUGAUCCCUUUGUGUCCAAAAAAUAUUUUUCUGAAAUAUAAUGUUUUUUUUAAUUUAUUUUUUGAAUUAUAAUGUUUUAAAAAAUUGGAAAAAAAAUUAAUCCCUUUUAUAAGAACAUUUUUUCUUUCCUAUUAGUUUUUAACAUUCUUAAUGUUUUUACAAUCAUAUAAAUUAAGACUUCAUAUCUUUAAUCAGCAUGUAAAUAUUCAAUACUACAAUCAUAUGAAUAAUAUUCAAUAUUCAUAUCUUUAAUUCUUCUGAUUUUCAUUUUCUUCUAAGCUCACUACAACUAUAGAACCUCUCUUUCAAGUUCCGUGGGCACACCACACUUAAACUAGGAUAUUCCCCACAGCGAGCAAUAAAAUAUAGUCGCCAUUACAUCUCAAUAAAUGUUGGAAUAUUUUUUAUUGUACAUCUCAAAUCUCAAAUAUUUGUUUCUUAUUAUAGGUUGAAAAAUUCAUGUAUAUAUAUUUUUUAAAUCUUAAUGGAUGCUUAGGUUAUGAUUUGUGAUAUGAAUUCUUCAAUUAUUUGAGUAAUAAAAAUAACUUCAAACAUCUUAAAAUCAUGUUAAAAGACCAAACCAAAACGUAAUUAAUAUUUUGGUUUGGUUUUUUUACUUUAAAUGGUCUGAUUUGGUUGGGGAAGAAAUGCUACUGAAAUUUUCGAUUUGGCUUGAAAAAUAUUAUAAAACUGAGUUCCAAAAAUUUAAUUGUAGCUGUGAUUUUGGGACCUUUUUUUUUUAAACAUUCUAACCUAAUAGAUAUUAGAAAAGGCUGUUUAAACUCCCAUUUCCAUUUCAUGCAUUGGAUGAUUAUGGAAAAACCCAGGGGCUUUCUAGUAACUUAUCCUGUAUUAUAAAUAGAAAAUACUUAUUUACACUAGAUGUAUUUUCAUAACUCAUUUGUUUGAAAAUGACUUACCUACAUUUGGUGUAUAGUCUCACCUAUAUACCAACCUAAUCCUAUAAAGUUAUUUGGUGUGGACGAGGGUGGUAUUUCCUUUUCACUAUGGGAAAAAAAACAUGAUAAACUAUUAAAAUAUAAUGACAAACUUUUCUAAAUAGUAAUUCACUAAUGGCUUGGUGUAUGGAUGGUCGUGUACCUUUGGUGUAAGCAUAGUUAAUUGUCAUUUAAAAAAUUAUACCUCUUAUUAUUGCUUUGCUUUUGUUUUUUUUUUUUUUUUUCUCCCAAUGAAAAACACACACUCUUAUUUACACCAAUUCAAUUGUCGUAAUACCUGUUUAGGCAAUUUGUUCACAUUAUAAACAGACAAAAGGCUUUCCUUCUUUGUAAAUCCCAUCAGAACUUUGUAUAUUUUACAAAUAAACAAAAAAUGACAAGAUCUUGAACAUUCAUUACAUGCUUCUACAUGGAAAUUAUCUAAAGUCAUAAUCUUUACUUGGAAGGAAGACAAACUUGGAUUUGACACAGAAUCAAAAAGGAAAACAAAGAAAGCCUUGUCUUCAUUUCCUUUCAUUCUUGGAAUAAAAUCUAAGAACAACAUAGAAGAAUAGCCGAUAAAGAACUCCCCAAGCAAGUAAAAUGGCAACAUCAUACCACAGGUUGUCCAUCUUAAUAUCCAUUGAGGAUAAAAUAUCUUCUCCGAUCAACUGACAGUUGUUUAUAAAAUCAGCAUGCUGUUUGCUAAGUUUGAUCUCACCUAGAGGACCUGGGGAAAGAUCUGCAUCAGCUCCAUUAUAGCAUCUUGUUCCUUUGAACUCAUUUGAUAACAUUGCUUCAAAUGGAUAUUUUAUUGCAGAUAUGUAAUGUAGCCACCUCCAGUAGACUGGUAUCUGUGUACGCUUCAAGAAGAACCCACAAGUUAGGAAGAAGAGAGCAGUUGUGGCAAUCACAACUGCAUAUCCUGUGAUAUAACUUGGGACUAGUGCACUAACAAGCAUCACAUAAGCAUUUGUAGUUAUGAGAGAGGCAUAAAGAAUUAUCCAAAAUUUGAAUAGGCUGCUUUUCAAAUGCACCAUGAAUUUGGUUAUGGCAGCAAAUGUGAAACCUUGGAUGGCAAAAAAUGGGAGAUAGACUAUAAGAGAGGCGAUAACAUAAGAAGAAGCGCGGUAAGCAUUGUGGGAAGUUUCUCUAAUGAAGAUAUAUCGUUCUUGGAUGAAUGUUGGGACAGCAUCAUUAGAGGAAAAGAAAAUCAGGCAAACUGCAAAAAUGUAGAAAUUCAAAAGCCUGCUGAUGGUUUUGAAUGUAUCUUCGCUCAGGUUCUUGAAAAGUGAGGAAAGAAUUAAUGCCAUGACAGUUAAUACGACCUCUCUUGAGAGAAAGAGUUCUGGAGUGCGAACAACAUUAAGUGCUGUUCGCCAUGAGAGGACUACAAUUUCACGGAGCCAUGGAUUAGCAAAUUUAGGACCAUGUGUAGGUUCAUCAAGCAUUUCUUCAUCCUCCAUGUCAAAUUCUUCAUAAGAUGUAGCAUAUGAAUCAACUGAGGAGCUGAAGACUACAGGAGUUUUUGGGCGAGAAGGGACUUGUUGAGGUGUUCGGUAUCUGUUUGAGAGUUGACUUCUUACAGCAGAGAUUGGUGUUUUUGCUGGAGUUCUUGCAGGAGUCCAUGUCGGUGCAUGGCGAGGAGUUCCUUUAACACCAUGGUAGAGCCAGACUGAAAAAUCUUUGUAAAACUGUGAAGCUAAACGUGGAUAAACACCACUUUGCAUGUGCAUUGAUGUCGGCACAGUUUUACGUUCAAGGGAGUUAUCAAAGUUAUCAUCAUCAUCAAAAUCAAAAUCAAAUCGUUCCGAGUCUGUUCGAGGUGUCAUAUUUCCAUUAAUUGAGAAUGCUUGGCUACGAAGGCUAAUGGCAUGCUUGGAUCCAGGGGUACUCAUAUAUGGAGUCCUUGGCGUUUUUGGGGUCUUUGGAGUCUUGGGGAUAGGUGUCCUAGCUAGUUGAUCUGGUUUGAUUCCCUCUCUUUGGUAAAGAACAAGGGGCUCAAGUCCUACAGUGGACUCAUCAUACUCCUUGAUUACAUCAAGAAGAUACUCCAAGCUGUUUUCUCCAUCAGGAACUGGUCUUCCAAAUCCAGAGAGAUGGGCAGGAAGAGCACCUGGGCUUCCCAUAUAUAUUAGUCUGCCCCUGUUUGGAUUUUGAUAUAAUCAAACUUCAGCUAUGUGAAUAGAGACAAUUUUACUCUUAUGGAUCUAAAAAUUUAAAGUUCUAUCAUACCUAGCAAGAACUGUAAUGCGGUCUAAAAGCAUUUGAAUCCUGUAAGAAGGCUGGUGAAUGGUCAUCAAGAGGAUGAUUAUGGAAAAACCAAACUUGAAGGAUAACAAGAGUGCUACAAUUUUGAUCUUAUAACCUAUUUCAUUAGGAAAAAGCUAAAUAUCAUGCCUCAAAAUCUACUCUGUUUAAUACCUAGUGCAAAUUUUAAAAAAUUAUCCCAAUUUACUUGGGCUUGAUAGAUAUUUUAAAAGGGGAAAAUCACUACUUUGAUGUUUUUGUUACUCCAUAAGUGGGUAUGUGCUAUUUUAGUAUGAGACACUAGAGUUGCCAUGUCAGGCGGGACAAUAGUGGUAACAUAUGGUGGGUAACAAAGUAGGUAAUUGAUUGCCUACUUUUCCUUGUUAUAUAUGUUCAUUGGUCAACAAUAUAGUAUAUUUAAUUAUAUGAGAAAGUGAAAGGGUGAUCAAGAAUUAGGGUUGGCGAGGUAUUCUUGUUAAUCACUAAAUUGCAGUUGUGGGUCAGGGGUUCAGUUCCAUUUCCCAGCCUGAAGAACCAAGAAAGAGAGGAGAUUGCAGUACCGUUAAACCUAGUUGGUCAAGGAGAUCAUGGACUCUUUUUUUCUUCUCACUUCUUGAAAUGGAAGGAGGAAGCCUAACUUCAGCUGCAAACAUGAAUGUCUCAAAAACAGUCAACAUGGAGAAUAGUUGAUCAUCUUGCAUCACAUAAGAUGAAACCAUCUUCAUGUAGCUUGUAGUUACCUACACAACCAUAAGUUUACACAUUAUAUGCAUAUGUAUAUAUAUAUAUAUAUUUUAUUAGUGCAUAAGGCUUCCUGCUUUGUUAUGUACUAACCGGUUUUCCAUCUAUCCUAACAGAUCCCUCAAGACUGCCCUGUGCAAUCCGACCAGCUAAGGCAUCAAGGAAAGUGGAUUUUCCGGCACCACUAGGUCCCAUGAUGGCCAUAAUUUCACCUCUCACAGCCUGACCAGAUAUAUCAUUCAGAAGAUAAGCUUCCUUGGUGAUCCAAGCACCAUCUUUCUUAAGUUUCUUCUUCACACUAUACGAUACAUUUUUGAACUCAAGUCCAUGGCCUGGAGUUAUGUUCCGAGCCUCCGGCGGGACAGCAUUUUUCUUCACCACCGCUGUCUUGUCCAUGUCCAUUAGAGUCUCAAGGCUUUUGUUUCUGUUUACCUUAGCCAUUGAGAAGAACUGAGCAAAGCAAAGCACCCCUUAGCCUUAUUUUAUGGGUUAUGAGAUGGGGUUUUUAAGAAAUGAAGUUUGAGUUGUGAAAUGGUAUUAAAAGGGGAAAGAAAUAUAGGCGUGAGAUGUAGACAAAAAUGUGGAUGGAUUAAACUCAAUGAAAUGGAGUUGGCAUUUUGUGAGAAUAUAACCCUUAGCCUUAUUUUAUGGGUUAUGAGAUGGGGUUUUUAAGAAAUGAAGUUUGAAUUGUGAAAUGGUAUUAAAAGGGGAAAGAAAUAUAGGCGUGAGAUGUAGACAAAAAUGUGGAUGGGUUAAACUCAAUGAAAUGGAGUUGGCAUUUUGUGAGAAUAUAAGGAGACGGCAAGUGACAGGUCCCACCGCUUCUCACAUAGUUUUUCUCUAAUUUGCUUUGAUUUUGCCGAAGCUUUUGUUAUUUUAUACAAUACAUACAACUAUCACACUCUUAACUUUGAAGCAUUUUAGGUGACAAAAUAAGAUAUGCCCUUUACUUGGUAAUUAUUACGAUUUUCAUAGGAAAAAUAAAGUUUUUUUCAGUUUUUAUUAUAUAAAGUCGGAAAAAACUAAAAAUAUUCAAAAUCAAAUUGAGUUGAUUCAAAAAUAAAGUCAUUUAAAAAAAAAAUUGAAUCAAACCAAAUUAGUUCAGUCUAAUUUGAUCUUAUAAAUAGUUCGGUUGUAUUUGGUCUUUUUCUAAAAAAUUCGGUUUAUUCUGUUAUAAUAUUGCUUUAAUUCAAAUGAAGCUGGCUGAAUUAUCUAAUUCUACUUGUUUUCAGCAACUUCACCAAUCAGUGCUCCAUCACCAUCACCUCUGUCGCCUCCAUCACCUCCAUCAAAUUCUGCUAAUAAUGGUGAGUUCCUUUUUUUUUUUUUUUUCUGGUCUACGAGUUGUCGUUUUCAUGUACUAACGUUUUAGUAUAUUGGUUAACAGGCACUUCCAAAACGGCACCUCCUCCAAGCGAGUCAGAGAAGACGACCGGUGCGGCCCAAAUUCAGAAAUGCAGUGGUUUUAUUGCUCUCUUUGUAGCUUUCCUUUCCUUGGCAUUAUCAGCCUAGAUUUUUCAUUUUCAGUGUAGAAGAAGACUGCUUCCAAUAAAUUAGUUUUUACUUUCAGACAUUUCAGCUUUAUUUCUUGUUCCUCUUGUUAAUAAUUUAGUAUAAAUGUAUGGUCGCA